This is a long non-coding RNA of Perca fluviatilis (European perch), 951 nucleotides long. RefSeq lists it as uncharacterized. The transcript has 6 exons. The record is from RefSeq and is a predicted model, not a curated record. Lineage: Eukaryota; Metazoa; Chordata; Actinopteri; Perciformes; Percidae.
GGAAAACACCUGUAGAGGUGCAUGGUGCGUUUGUAGGGGCUUUCUUCAAAUCAUCUCCAUAUAAACUAUGAACAGGUUUCUGCGUCCCCUCCACUUCCCUAUCAGAGUACUGCUUUAUCGAUGAUAUGAGGACUUGGUAUGAAGCAGAAAACUACUGCAUCUCUCACUACACUGCAAUGGCCCAAAUACAAAACACAGAAGCCGUCAUGACGAUGAUGAACAGUGUAGUGUCGUUGGGAAAUGACAAGGCCUGGAUAGGACUGUAUGGGGGCGUUUCAGAAUGGAACUGGGUGGAUGGAAACCAGCCACAUUUGUCUUUUGGAACGUUGGUGAGCCAGAAAACGUUGAUGCCAAUGAGCUCUGUGUGACCAUGACUUUGGAUGGAUACUGGCACAAUGUCAACUGCUCAGCAACGAGACCAUGUCAAUUUGGGGGUGCUGAGUUCCGUGUUAGCACUGGAGAUGACUUGGAAUGAGUCCAAAACGUCCUGUGAAGAACAUGGUGGCAUUCUGGCUAUUAUCCCUAAUAAAGCUAUGAAUUCGGAGGUCAAGAUCAGAUUGUCAGAAUUUAGUGAAGCGUGGAUUGGCCUCAGUAGACACCAGAUGAACGUCUGGUAUUGGUCAGAAUCUGGAGUAAAUUACAUGUUCACAAACUGGCAAAAUGGACAACCUGAACGUAGCAGGGAGUUGUUCAGCUGCUGUGUUGUCAGAUGGAAGCUGGACUGAUGAGCCCUGCAACGCAACAUUCCCUUUCUUCUGCUACAGAGCACUUGCUAAUCAAGGUGUGACUGACUUUAAACUGACCUAGAAGAAACGGCCAGUGAAGCAGACCAGGCAGUCUAAUGACAAUAAAAGUGGUAAAGGAUUCCUAUUGGUGCUCUUGAGGUUUUGGAACAUUUUAAAAAGGACAACUGAAGACAUGAAAGGGGAUAGAGAAUGACAUGCAGCAAAG